This is a long non-coding RNA of Xiphophorus hellerii (green swordtail), 1318 nucleotides long. RefSeq lists it as uncharacterized. The transcript is spliced from 3 exons. NCBI's taxonomy places the organism in Eukaryota, Metazoa, Chordata, Actinopteri, Cyprinodontiformes, Poeciliidae. The record is from RefSeq and is a predicted model, not a curated record.
UUCACUAACUAAUGCACUGCAAGACAGUAAAAGCAGUUGAAAAGGUCAACUCCAUAAUCAAAGUGUCUGUUUUAUAGUGACUAGUUUUUCACACUGGAUAUAAACGCUUCAUGAUUGGCUAUGGUGAAAAGGCAAGAAAAAAACAUCUCAUUUGAAAGCUGUUUUUAUAUUUUCUUAGAAAUAAAUUUUCAAAUAGCAUUAGAAGUCAGCUCAAAGGUUUAUUGAUCAAAUACUGGAAAUCAGAAAUAGUCUACAGUAUGAAUGAAUACUGUAGACAUUCACUCUUUGGGACACACUGCCCUGUAUGAUUUAAAUGUUUCCCUGCUUUUACGCACCUCAUGCAGAUGAUUGGUUUUCAGCAAAAAUCUGUUAAGCAGCCAUCAAUUGAAAUCGGGUGUGCUGAAGCAGGGACACAUCUAAAACAUGUAGUGUGCCUUGAGGACUAGGGCUGGGAAACACUGCUCAAGAUUAUUCCAACCUGCAGUAAAUUGUGUUCCAACACUUGAAGGCAUCCACAUACUUCUCAGGAGUGGUGGCUGAAUACCACCGGAAAUAAAUAAAUAAACAUAUACUGUAUAUAUAUAUAUAUAUAUAUAUAUAUAUAUAUAUAUAUAAUAUUGAAUAAAAAAUCUUAAAUCCAGGAGAUUACCAUUGCUUUAUUUGCAGAGCUUCUGCAAUUGGUACAUAAAGAUUCAUAGAAUUUAGAAACAGAUGUAGAAAUCUGAUGAAAAGCUUUUGCUGAAAUAUCUCAGCAUGGCAUUGACCUACAUUUCUGCCUCUGAAGUCUGCAUGCUGAGGAGGUUAAAAAUGGAGCAUCUUGCUUUGCUGCAUAUUUCCACCAUCUCAGUGGUUUAACAUCUGCAAAAUCCUCAUUAUAACUUUUUUUAAUGGAACCUAAUAAAAGAUGCAAGCUGAAAUAAAAAAAACAUAAAAAGUGAAAUAAUGUGUACUCAUUAUUAUUAAAUGUCAUUUUCUUCUGAUAUUGCUCGUAAGAGAAUGUUUUUUUUAAUUAGCCUUAACUUUUCUUUGAAUAAAAUAAGAUUUUCUGCUCCUCUUAAGUUCAAAGUCAAAUGUCAAAGGUCUAUUACCAGACAACAUACAGUAGUGCUCAAUGUAAUGCUAUUUAUAUACUUUUUUUUCUGAUGGGAUGAAGAAAAAAAACCUGCACCAAAUGGCUUUUACUGAAUUAAAGUCAAUUUGAAAAAAACAAAAGGAUUAGAAACAGAUUUUUUUCUGAAAUUGUUAAGUUUUUUGUUAACUUGUUCACUCACUGAGGAUCUAAUUUAUUUAGUUAGAAAUAAGUUAGAAUGAAUGAAUG